GCUACUUGUUCUACCCUCCUGCCCCGUGGUCCUCCCGAUUGGAUAUUUGUCUGCGUCGCAGGCCAAUCCCUAAUACUACAACGCUCCAAAAACCUCAGAGUUGUAGGCAUCAAGAUCUUAGAUCAUCUGCGGUCGCGAUGCUUCAUCAAAAUCCGGUGGUUUCCGAUAUCUGUGCUACUGGUUUAUCCGUUGCUAUUGCUCUCUCCGUUCUCCGCCUCUGGAAAGAAACCGCUGAACGACGCAUCUUUGACCAGAAACUGAAUCGGAAGCUUGUGCA
Molecule: unclassified non-coding RNA, 277 nt
Filed under: Hevea brasiliensis (rubber tree)
Lineage: Eukaryota; Viridiplantae; Streptophyta; Magnoliopsida; Malpighiales; Euphorbiaceae
Source: RNAcentral